This 248-nucleotide ribosomal RNA is filed under the name uncultured Parcubacteria group bacterium. Its description in RNAcentral is "partial 16S ribosomal RNA". It matches the Rfam family "Bacterial small subunit ribosomal RNA", at positions 439 to 700 of the family's 1533-position model. The record is from RNAcentral.
UGAGGGAAGAAGUUUAUUGACGGUACCUCAUGAAUAAGGGGCUCCUAAUCUCGUGCCAGCAGGAGCGGUAAUACGAGAGCCCCGAGCGUUAUCCGGAAUUAUUGGGCGUAAAGGGUGCGUAGGUGGCACUGUUAGUCGUUUGUCAAAUCCUUGGGCUUAACCCAAGAACCGCGAACGAAACGGCAGAGCUAGAGAGUGUGAGGGGUAUAGGGAACUAAUAGUGUAGGGGUGAAAUCCGUUGAUAUUAU